CCUACGGGGGGCUGCAGUGGGGAAUAUUGGACAAUGGGGGCAACCCUGAUCCAGCCAUGCCGCGUGUGUGAAGAAGGCCCUCGGGUUGUAAAGCACUUUCAGUGAGGAAGAACGCCUGGUGGUUAAUACCCAUCAGGAAAGACAUCACUCACAGAAGAAGCACCGGCUAACUCCGUGCCAGCAGCCGCGGUAAUACGGAGGGGGCGAGCGUUAAUCGGAAUUACUGGGCGUAAAGCGCGCGUAGGUGGCUUGAUAAGCCGGUUGUGAAAGCCCCGGGCUCAACCUGGGAACGGCAUCCGGAACUGUCAAGCUAGAGUGCAGGAGAGGAAGGUAGAAUUCCCGGUGUAGCGGUGAAAUGCGUAGAGAUCGGGAGGAAUACCAGUGGCGAAGGCGGCCUUCUGGACUGACACUGACACUGAGGUGCGAAAGCGUGGGUAGCAAACAGGAUUAGAUACCCUUGUAGUC
This 465-nucleotide ribosomal RNA is filed under the name Vreelandella stevensii. Its description in RNAcentral is "partial 16S ribosomal RNA". It matches the Rfam family "Bacterial small subunit ribosomal RNA", at positions 338 to 795 of the family's 1533-position model. Lineage: Bacteria; Pseudomonadati; Pseudomonadota; Gammaproteobacteria; Oceanospirillales; Halomonadaceae. The record is from RNAcentral.